GAUGAGCUGCCUUCUUGAACUGCUGCAGUCUGUUUGGUAAAAGAUCAGAAAGGAAAUUAAUGGUGUACAAUCUCCACAGAAGUGCUCAAUUUCCUAAAGCUUGUAUCUACUAAUUUAGACCCAUUGAUUUUGCUGCUCAGGUGAACUGAAAGGAAACAAACAGGGCUGAUUUAUAUGAAAUGUUAAAAUAAGUCAAUACUCUCCUGAGCCAAAUGAAGUAUAUAACAUGGUGACUGUUUACUGCAAAUACAAAAGGAUGCCAUUUCAGUGCAGUUGGAAAUUUGACAAUUUGAUGCAUCAUCAUUAUUAUUAUUUGGUACUGCUUCUUUGAAAGCCAGAAUGACAUUGAUGAAAAGGAAGGAGACACAGAGCCCUGGAUGAAACUGUGAAGGCAAAAUUAUGAACAUUGAAUAACCAAACAGAAGAUAAGUGGAGGACUACUAUUUUGCUCCCCCCAGAUGAAUCAGACAGAUUAAAGGACUGUCUGAUUUGAAAUAUGGUGUGAAGAUGAGAGAUUCAGAACUGCCAUUCAGCUGUGCUAAACUUGUACAUCACUCUUCUUUUAAUACACUUCAAAUUUAUGACUUAGAUGAAGCUUUUAUGGCUUAUAGGGCUGUGUCAAAUUUUAUUUAACAUUCAUGUGAAGUGCCUCAAGAUAUUUUACUACAUUAAAUAAAAAUGCUCUUGCAUAAAAAACCUCUUACAAAUCAA
This is a long non-coding RNA of Rhincodon typus (whale shark), 711 nucleotides long. RefSeq lists it as uncharacterized. The transcript is spliced from 2 exons. NCBI's taxonomy places the organism in Eukaryota, Metazoa, Chordata, Chondrichthyes, Orectolobiformes, Rhincodontidae. The record is from RefSeq and is a predicted model, not a curated record.